RNAcentral lists this ribosomal RNA (495 nucleotides) under uncultured Verrucomicrobiota bacterium. RNAcentral describes it as "bacterial SSU rRNA". It matches the Rfam family "Bacterial small subunit ribosomal RNA", at positions 410 to 896 of the family's 1533-position model. Lineage: Bacteria; Pseudomonadati; Verrucomicrobiota. The record is from RNAcentral.
GAAGGUCUUCGGAUCGUAAACUUCUGUCAUUUGAGAACAAGUGUCGAAGCAAUAACUGGCUUCGAUUUGAUAGUACCAAAAGAGGAAGAGACGGCUAACUCUGUGCCAGCAGCCGCGGUAAUACAGGGGUCUCAAGCGUUGUUCGGAUUCAUUGGGCGUAAAGGGUGCGUAGGCGGUGCCGUAAGUCGGAUGUGAAAUCCCGAAGCUCAACUUUGGAACUGCAUUCGAUACUGCGGUGCUGGAGGACUGGAGAGGAGAUCGGAAUUCAUGGUGUAGCAGUGAAAUGCGUAGAUAUCAUGAGGAAGACCAGUGGCGAAGGCGGAUCUCUGGACAGUUCCUGACGCUGAGGCACGAAGGCUAGGGUAGCGAACGGGAUUAGAUACCCCGGUAGUCCUAGCAGUAAACGGUGCACGUUUGGUGUGGGAGGAUUCGACCCCUUCCGUGCCGGAGCUAACGCGUUAAACGUGCCGCCUGGGGAGUACGAUCGCAAGAUUA